RNAcentral lists this ribosomal RNA (435 nucleotides) under uncultured bacterium. RNAcentral describes it as "bacterial SSU rRNA". It matches the Rfam family "Bacterial small subunit ribosomal RNA", at positions 30 to 465 of the family's 1533-position model. The record is from RNAcentral.
AUUGAACGCUGGCGGCAGGCCUAACACAUGCAAGUCGAGCGGAUGAGAGGAGCUUGCUCUUCGAUUCAGCGGCGGACGGGUGAGUAAUGCCUAGGAAUCUGCCUAGUAGUGGGGGACAACGUUUCGAAAGGAACGCUAAUACCGCAUACGUCCUACGGGAGAAAGUGGGGGAUCUUCGGACCUCACGCUAUUAGAUGAGCCUAGGUCGGAUUAGCUAGUUGGUAGGGUAAAGGCCUACCAAGGCGACGAUCCGUAACUGGUCUGAGAGGAUGAUCAGUCACACUGGAACUGAGACACGGUCCAGACUCCUACGGGAGGCAGCAGUGGGGAAUAUUGGACAAUGGGCGAAAGCCUGAUCCAGCCAUGCCGCGUGUGUGAAGAAGGCCCUCGGGUCGUAAAGCACUUUAAGUUGGGAGGAAGGGCUUACAGCGAAUA